CGCCUAGUAGUGUUAAAGAAACACCUGGUUGGUGGUGCUGUUCUUAAAUCAGUCAGGGGCGGAGCAGGUGGCAGUCCUUUGUCCAUCCUAGCUUGAUGUCUGUCUGUCUUGGUGGCCAAAGCUGUUUUAUGCCUAGGACUCAUGA
Non-coding RNA from Mus musculus (house mouse), 145 nucleotides. The record is from Rfam. Lineage: Eukaryota; Metazoa; Chordata; Mammalia; Rodentia; Muridae.